UCUCCGUUGGUGAACCAGCGGAGGGAUCAUUACAGAGUCGUAAAACACUCCCAAACCCAUGUGAAUUUACCUUUGUUGCCUCGGUGGGAGCCUACCAGCUUACCCUGGAACGGCCUCACCGGUGGACCUUUUAACUCUUGUUAUUUUAUGUAAUCUGAGAGUCUUAUUUUAAAUAAGUCAAAACUUUCAACAACGGAUCUCUUGGUUCUGGCAUCGAUGAAGAACGCAGC
RNAcentral lists this unclassified non-coding RNA (230 nucleotides) under uncultured fungus. RNAcentral's name for it is "sequence contains ITS1, 5.8S rRNA gene". The stretch from base 182 to 230 matches the Rfam family "5.8S ribosomal RNA", at positions 1 to 49 of the family's 154-position model. The record is from RNAcentral. Lineage: Eukaryota; Fungi.